CGGCUCCGGCAGUCUGGUCUCUCUGGAGUCAGACUUGGAUACAAGGGCAGAGAAUCCAGUGAUAUAUGAGAAUGGGGAUAUGACAGAGAGGGUCAAAUUCCUAUGCAAGGAUGGAUUGAGGUUUCUUGUGAAUUUUUGUCCCUCGGAAACAAGGGGCUCUGUCAAUGUGACUACUGUGCUCUCGAGAACUGGGGCCAAGGCACCAUGGUCACCGUCUCCUCAGCUGCGAAAGUGUCUCCGACCGUCUACCCCUUGAUUCCCAGCCGCAAGGAGAAAAACCUCUCCCAAGUGACCCUGGGCUGCCUGGUGACUGGCUACUUUCCAGAACCGGUGAGCAUCAAGUGGAGCCCGGAGACUUUCAGCAGCAACUCCAAAACCUUCCCUGCUAUCCUCCAGCCCAGUGGUCUAUACACCCUCAGCAGCCAAAUCACCGUCCCUGAAGAUAAUUGGUGUGGCGAGUUGUUCACUUGCAGUGUAGAACACCCUGCCACCCAGAAGAACACCCAAAAAACAGUCGGACCUAGAUUUCCUGGAUCAAAUUCAUGCCCAGUUUUAUGCGGACCUGCAGUAUUCCUAGUCCCUCCAAGACCCAAGGACUUACUCUCUGAAGGUGGCAAACCCAAGAUCAUCUGCGUGGCCACUGGUCUCAGGGAUGAGGAAAAAGAUGCUAGAGUAAAGUGGUACAAAAAUGGAACACUGUUUCCCAACUCGCAAAACGCACAGACGUCAUCAGAUACAAUAUGGAAUGGCACACGUGUUUCCAGUAAGCUGUCAGUGACCCCUGAGGACUGGAAGAGUGAUGCAGAGUUCAGAUGUGAAGUAGAACACAAAUUAUUUCCAACAUCAUUGAAAAAAGCAAUCUCCCAUGAUAAAAACACUGAACGUAAAACCCCAGAGGCCUACAUCUUCUCACCACACACGGAGGAGCUGAGCAAGGAAUCUGUGAGCAUCACCUGUCUGGUCAAGGGCUUCUUACCCCAAGAUAUCUCCAUUGCGUGGCAACAUAAAGGCAAAGAAAUGAAGGAGGAAGAGUACUCUACCACCCCACCCCAGUAUCGAAAUGGCUCCUACUUUCUGUAUAGCAAGCUUACUGUGACAAAGAAGGAUUGGGAAACAGGAGAGUCUUUCUCCUGCUUGGUGUACCAUGACUCCCGGUCAGACACACUGAAAAAGACGGUGUCCAAAAAUACUGGUAAUUGAGAGCUGAUUAGAACGUCCUGCUGCCCCAUUCAUGUCUCCUCCUGACCCAGGACCAGCCCUGUUCCCAUUUCCCCAACUGCUGUUUAUGCUGGCUCUCCCACCCACUCCGGGUCCCUGGAGCCCCAAAAGAGGGGAAUUCCCCAUGUAAAUUCCAUCCAUGACCCCAAAGCAUGAUAAUAAAUACCCUACUGCCACACCUGAAA
Molecule: non-coding RNA, 1403 nt
Organism: Ornithorhynchus anatinus (platypus)
Lineage: Eukaryota; Metazoa; Chordata; Mammalia; Monotremata; Ornithorhynchidae
Source: the annotation of a RefSeq genome assembly